Molecule: long non-coding RNA, 1709 nt
Organism: Thamnophis elegans (Western terrestrial garter snake)
Lineage: Eukaryota; Metazoa; Chordata; Lepidosauria; Squamata; Natricidae
Exons: 3
Source: RefSeq, a predicted model, not a curated record
CCAGCAAGAAAGGUCACGAAAUGGGGCAAAAUUUGGACUCAGUUGUGGCCAUAAGUCGAGGACAACCUGUACUACUUCUUUAAAUCUAGAAGUUUUCUUUCCCUGUUGUGAAACUGACCAGAAGAGAUAAAGCUGGAACUUGCUAGAAGUUUGUAAAAUGAAUACAGAAUGAACAUUCACAAAUGAAAUUCCCUAGUAAAUGGGAAUUUAUAGGGGUACUUAAGUGGGCUUGACAGAAUAACUUAUUCUGGGUAGCUGGAAGUUGCAUAUUCUAUACCAUCUCUAAUCAAUCUCAAAAUAUUUUAUAAGAAAACCCAAUUUAACUAAUUUCAUAACCAAUUCUACCAUGCUGUUAGAAUUUUCAUACCAGAACAGUACCCGGUGCUCUGGGCAGGUUCUGGUACGCCUAUACUGGGGCAUACCGCCUGCAACCUACCACUGAAGAGGGAAUUCUGAUUUGACCAACAUCUUCUGCCACAUGUGGAAUUCUUGACAUAUAGUAAUGUUUAUAGACAAACUGUUUUAGUUAUAUGUGAUUAUUACAUACAGAUUUGGAGUUGAGAUAGUUUCUAUGGCCCUCUCUUAUAUAUUUCUCCAGAGAGUUAGAGAGUUGGGGGACAACCCUUUAACAACCUUUUUACUUCACAGAUAUUUUUCAAGUAUUGCUUUGCUUUUGUGGUGUUAUUUUUCAAAUAAAUGCUUAUAAUUCUUCUUCCGUGUCUAUUUAAAUUAGGCUGGUGGGGCUUAAAUAUAUUCCACAUUACAAAUUUUAGAUUAAAAUUAUUCUGUUACAUUUCAUUGGCACAAACCUGAGUUAAACAGGUGCAGUAUAAAAUCGAGUUGGGGCCAUUUUAUACAUGUAUUUGAGAGAGAAUGCAUUAUGUGAAGAGGCUUAUUUUUUUGUUUAAAAAUCUGGCAAUGCUUAAAAGGAUUUCAGAGAGAAGAGGGAUAUGAUAUCACUAGUUUGGCAUUUGGUUAAUGAAUGUUGUAGUCAUAUUUCUUACAGAUGAAAAUAAAAAUGGUAUGUCUAUUUGGAAAAAAUAUAAGCGAAGUUACAAAAUAUAAUUUCUGAACAGGGUUCUAUGUUUUAAAACUCAACAAUUAAACUUGCUUAAUUUGUUUUACAUCAAAUACAUUUGGGGAACAGGGCAUAUUCCUAUUCAAGCAAUGGUCAGCUUCUUUAGCUAUAUAAUAAUUAUUCUCAUGAAAAACCUGACAUUUUGGCCAGACCUGUUAGUCAGGUGACAAUACAGGUCUAGCUCUAUGUCUAGAAAUUGCUCAUCUAAGAAGUUGCUGACAUGGAAGUGGUAUUGGAGGAAGAGAUCAAUAAUGAGUGUGCCCCAUUUUCAAACACUGUUGCACAGAGGUAAUAGAACUAUUCAGUGAAUCCAAUCCUCUCCCUAUAAUUGGUAGAUCGAUAAGUAACCCGUGGAAGACCAUGAAGCUGGACAAGAGUAGGCAAAAUGGCAUUCCAUCAACCAAAGCAAUAAAAAAUGAAACAUUCUUGGUGUCUCUUACAUCAAUUCAUCACCUGGGAUUCUUUUGAAAACCAGGAAGCCUUCUGGAGUCCAUGGGCAUAGGGACUGCGUAGGCAUGUCUUAAAACUAAAGCCAAAGUUACCUUAUUACAGUUAUAGUGUCAGAUGGCUCAGAUUCAUCAUCAGAGAUCAAGUCCAGGCUUGAUAUUGCCUGUGGAGGACUAUCUUUCUG